GACGAACGCUGGCGGCGUGCCUAAUACAUGCAAGUAGAACGCAGUUGCGAACGGGUGAGUAACGCGUAGGUCACUGCCUGGUAGCGGGGGAUAACUAUUGGAAACGAUAGCUAAUACCGCAUACUACCAGAUGGACCUGCGUGGUGUUAGUUAGUUGGUGCGGUAACGGCUCACCAAGGCACCGAUACAUAGCCGACCUGAGAGGGGGAUCGGGCACACUGGGACUGAUAAACGGCCCAGACUCCUACGGGAGGCAGCAGUAGGGAAUCUUCGGCAAUGGGGGGAACCCUGACCGAGCAACGCCGCGUGAGUGAAGAAGGUUUUCGGAUCGUAAAGCUCUGUUGUUAAGGAAGCGGUACUUAACCAGAAAGGGACGGCUAACUACGUGCCAGCAGCCGCGGUAAUAC
Molecule: ribosomal RNA, 407 nt
Filed under: uncultured bacterium
Lineage: Bacteria
Description: partial 16S ribosomal RNA
Rfam family: Bacterial small subunit ribosomal RNA
Source: RNAcentral